Molecule: long non-coding RNA, 492 nt
Organism: Manis pentadactyla (Chinese pangolin)
Lineage: Eukaryota; Metazoa; Chordata; Mammalia; Pholidota; Manidae
Exons: 3
Source: RefSeq, a predicted model, not a curated record
CACUCAACACCCACAUCUGAAGUCACUUUGCCAUUGGGGGACACUCAGCGGACCUGAGUGUCACUUGACAAUCAGCAAGGGAUGUUAUUACGGACUACAGACGUUCUUUAGGAUGCAGAGCAACAACUAUGCAACUUACUUUAUUGCCUUCUCUGAAUGACCAAGACCUCGCUGACUAUUUUUGCCAAAGAACUACCAUAGAAAAUUCAUCUACGGAAGAUGGACAUUUUUCACUGGGUCAUGAGGCAUGUGCACAUAAGUAGAAAUGACCAGGAGCGGCUGCUAUGUAAGUACGGGGCCCAUCACUGCGCCGAACUGGCCUCCUUCCCAGAUGCUCCUGCCGUCUGUUGGAAACGCAGCCCAGUGGAAGCAGACAGUAGACUAAAAAUUGCACUUUUCCUCGUGUCUAUGGAAAAGUGUGUUUAUCAGGCUCUAAUGCUUAGCCACAUAAACAGGCUUUAAGUCAUGGCUUCAGAUACUAAAGUAAACAUG